RNAcentral lists this ribosomal RNA (739 nucleotides) under bacterium enrichment culture. RNAcentral's name for it is "bacterial SSU rRNA". It matches the Rfam family "Bacterial small subunit ribosomal RNA", at positions 118 to 888 of the family's 1533-position model. The record is from RNAcentral.
UGGGAACAUGCCCCAAAGUGAGGGAUAACGCACCGAAAGGUGUGCUAAUACCGCAUAUGGUCUUCGGAUUAAAGGAUUUAUCCGCUUUGGGAGUGGCCCGCGUACGAUUAGAUUGUUGGUGAGGUAACGGCUCACCAAGUCGACGAUCGUUAACUGGUCUGAGAGGAUGAUCAGUCAGACUGGAACUGAGACACGGUCCAGACUCCUACGGGAGGCAGCAGUAAGGAAUCUUCCACAAUGGGCGAAAGCCUGAUGGAGCAACGCCGCGUGCAGGAUGAAGGCCCUCGGGUCGUAAACUGCUUUUAUGAGUGAAGAAUAUGACGGUAACUCAUGAAUAAGCACCGGCUAACUACGUGCCAGCAGCCGCGGUCAUACGUAGGGUGCAAGCAUUAUCCGGAGUGACUGGGCGUAAAGAGUUGCGUAGGCGGCAUAGUAAGCAGAUAGUGAAAGCGUGUGGCUCAACCAUACUCACAUUAUCUGAACUGCUAAGCUAGAGGACGAGAGAGGUCACUGGAAUUCCUAGUGUAGGAGUGAAAUCCGUAGAUAUUAGGAGGAACACCAAUGGCGUAGGCAGGUGACUGGCUCGUUCCUGACGCUCAGGCACGAAAGCGUGGGGAGCAAACGGGAUUAGAUACCCCGGUAGUCCACGCCGUAAACGAUGGAUGCUAGCUGUUAGAGGUAUCGACCCCUCUAGUAGCGAAGCUAACGCGUUAAGCAUCCCGCCUGUGGAGUACGGUCG